This 375-nucleotide unclassified non-coding RNA is filed under the name uncultured bacterium. Its description in RNAcentral is "contains 16S-23S intergenic spacer region". The record is from RNAcentral.
UCUCGGCUUAUCACCGGCAGUCCCCUUAGAGUGCCCUUGCGUAGCAACUAGGGACAAGGGUUGCGCUCGUUGCGGGACUUAACCCAACAUCUCACGACACGAGCUGACGACAGCCAUGCAGCACCUGUGUUCCGGUUCCCUUUCAGGCACACCCGCCUUUCAGCAGGCUUCCAGACAUGUCAAGGGUAGGUAAGGUUGUUCGCGUUGCAUCGAAUUAAUCCACAUCAUCCACCGCUUGUGCGGGUCCCCGUCAAUUCCUUUGAGUUUUAGCCUUGCGGCCGUACUUCCCAGGCGGGGUGCUUAAUGCGUUAGCUGCGGCACCGCAGGAGUCAAAGCCCGCGACACCUAGCACCCAUCGUUUACGGCGUGGACUAC